This 120-nucleotide ribosomal RNA is filed under the name Myrialepis paradoxa. RNAcentral describes it as "partial 18S ribosomal RNA". It matches the Rfam family "Eukaryotic small subunit ribosomal RNA", at positions 1720 to 1831 of the family's 1831-position model. The record is from RNAcentral. Lineage: Eukaryota; Viridiplantae; Streptophyta; Magnoliopsida; Arecales; Arecaceae.
UGCGGCAACGUUAGUGGUNUCGUGGUCUGCGACAUCAUGAGAAGUCCAGUGAACCUUAUCAUUUAGAAGAAGGAGAAGUCAUAACAGGGUUUCGUAGGUGAACUUGUGGAAGGAUCAUUA